GCAGACACAUUCCAGCAAAUCAGCAGCAGACCCUCCCUCCCAGACCCUCCCACUUCCUGGACAGCUCACUAAGAAUGCAGCUUCAAAAUGGAUGCUGUCCAGGAGUUGGGAGGGCCUGGGAGGGAGGAUCUGCUGCUGAUUGGCUGGAAUGUGUCU
Molecule: microRNA precursor, 156 nt
Filed under: Pelobates cultripes (western spadefoot toad)
Lineage: Eukaryota; Metazoa; Chordata; Amphibia; Anura; Pelobatidae
Source: RNAcentral